GAUGAACGCUGGCGGCGUGCCUAAUACAUGCAAGUCGGACGAAGAUCUAGCUUGCUAGAUCUUAGUGGCGAACGGGUGUGUAAUACAUAAAUAAUCUGCCCAUAUGACUGGGAUAACCAUUGGAAACGAUAGCUAAUACCGGGUAGGUUGAUCGGAGGCAUCUCUGAUGAAUUAACGCAGGAUUUCUACACAAAUGGAUGAGUUUAUGGCGCAUUAGUUAGUUGGUGGGGUAACGGCCUACCAAGACGAUGAGGCGUAGCCGACCUGAGAGGGUGACCGGCCACACUGGGACUGGGACACGGCCCAGACUCCUACGGGAGGCAGCAGUAGGGAAUUUUCGGCAAUGGGCGCAAGCCUGACCGGGCAACGCCGCGUGAGUGAUUAAGGCCUUCGGGUUGUAAAGCUCUGUUGUAAGGGAAGAACAUUCAGGAUAGGAAAUGAUCUUGAACUGACGGUACCUUACCAGAAAGCCACGGCUAACUACGUGCCAGCCGCCGCGGUAA
RNAcentral lists this ribosomal RNA (503 nucleotides) under uncultured bacterium. RNAcentral's name for it is "partial 16S ribosomal RNA". It matches the Rfam family "Bacterial small subunit ribosomal RNA", at positions 28 to 523 of the family's 1533-position model. The record is from RNAcentral.